Molecule: ribosomal RNA, 417 nt
Filed under: uncultured bacterium
Lineage: Bacteria
Description: bacterial SSU rRNA
Rfam family: Bacterial small subunit ribosomal RNA
Source: RNAcentral
AACGCGAAGAACCUUACCUACUCUUGACAUCCAGAGAACUUUCCAGAGAUGGAUUGGUGCCUUCGGGAACUCUGAGACAGGUGCUGCAUGGCUGCCGUCAGCUCGUGUUGUGAAAUGUUGGGUUAAGUCCCGCAACGAGCGCAACCCUUAUCCUUUGUUGCCAGCGGUUAGGCCGGGAACUCAAAGGAGACUGCCAGUGAUAAACUGGAGGAAGGUGGGGAUGACGUCAAGUCAUCAUGGCCCUUACGAGUAGGGCUACACACGUGCUACAAUGGCGCAUACAAAGAGAAGCGACCUCGCGAGAGCAAGCGGACCUCAUAAAGUGCGUCGUAGUCCGGAUUGGAGUCUGCAACUCGACUCCAUGAAGUCGGAAUCGCUAGUAAUCGUAGAUCAGAAUGCUACGGUGAAUACGUUCCC